This 1973-nucleotide ribosomal RNA is filed under the name Orbicella franksi. Its description in RNAcentral is "partial 16S large subunit ribosomal RNA". The stretch from base 97 to 1832 matches the Rfam family "Bacterial large subunit ribosomal RNA". The record is from RNAcentral. Lineage: Eukaryota; Metazoa; Cnidaria; Anthozoa; Scleractinia; Merulinidae.
AACUGUCCCUGUCUCUUGCUCAUACAACAAUAUGCCUUCUUCAAUUUUGGUUUCUCCUUUUAUUGAAAAAAUUUUUUUUGGGUGAUGAGGGUUAAAAAAGAAGAAAACUAAAAAAAAAGAAGAUGGCUAAGAUAAACUAAGAUCAGACGACAGACCCUUCGAAACGGCGAAAAGACGCAUUAGUUGUUGCUUCUGCGGAAAAGCGAGCCUGAGGUUUGAAUUGAAACAUCUUAAUACCGAGUAAAAAUCAAACGAGAUUCCGAGAGUAGUGGCGAGCGAAGUUGGAGUUGUGUAAAAAGGGAUCAUAGAUCUAGACUAAACGUUAGUUUAUACUGAUAGUAAGAGUACUGUAAAGGAAAGUUGAAAGAGAGUUGAAAAGAGCUGGAAUCUUUUUUUUUUAAGCAGCUUUAAAACAGCGUACCUUUUGUAUAAUGGGUAAAAGAGAUUAAUUUGGCAUAUUUAAAAACGGAAAAUUAAAAGAAGUUUUUUUUAGUCAAAAUACCCGAAACCAAGUGAUUUAAUCAUGAAUAGUAAACAAGAACGAACUGGUGGUUGUGGCAAAACCCUCAGAAGAUUUGUGAUUAGGGGUGAAAGGCCAAUCGAACUUGGAUAUAGCUGGUUUUUUGCGAAAACUAUUUAAGUAGUGCCCUUUUUGUUUUAUUUUUUUUGUAAUAAAAUAAAAAAUCAAAUAAAAAAAAAGUAGACAACCAAAAAGUGAAAAGAUUUUUUGUUAAAAGAGAAAGCUCAAAGCAGAAGUUAACGUCAUUUGUUUCUUUUUAGUGUAAAAAAAAAACAAGGCUUAGACAAUAAAAAAGUAGGCUUAGAGCCAGCCAUCUUUUAAAAAGUGCGUAGUUGUUUAUUUAAUAAAUUAAAUUUUUUUUUAAUUUUGGUGGGUAAAAUCAAACCAAAACUCUGCAAAUAGAACUUUUUUAUAGCAAAAUAUACCGUUUUUCAGUAGAAACAAUUUUUACAUGGGUAAUCUAAAAUUAUUAUUUUUUUUCUUUAUAUUACCACUUUUGGGUUAUACAGACCCUUAGAGUUUUUUUAUGGGAAAUUUUUUUUUAUAUAUUAUAUCAGGAAAAACCAAAAAGAGGAGCUGUUUUUCUAACUAAAGAAAGAAAAAAAAAAGAGACACAUUUUUUUAAGGAACUCGGCAAAAGAGAACUUCGACUGUUUACCAAAAACAUAGCUUUUUGAUUUUUAUAAAAGGUGAGACCUGCCCUAUGGUUGGAUCUAAAAAAGUUUGUUUUGCUUAUUAAUAAAGACAGCUAAAUGGCCGCGGUAACACUAACUGUGAAAAUGUAGCGUAAUCAAUUGUUAAUUAAUUGUUGACCGGUAUGAAUGGUGUCACGAAAGUUUCUCUGUCUUAAAAAAAUACUUAAUGAAAUUGAAUUUGUAGUGAAGAUGCUACAUUAAAAUUGUAAGACGAGAAGUCCCCAUGGAGCUUUACUGAGGGCUUAGACUUUUCUAUAAGCGGGACAGUUUUGUUGGGGCGACAGUUUUUUAAAAAGUAACAAAAACGAACUAUGGCGUAGCUUCACCCUGAAAAAUUUUUUAAGGGACAUUUUUGGUGUGUUUUAUGAUCCGUUGUUUGGAAUGAAAAAAACAACGAAAACAAAUAAAAGUUACCCUGGGGAUAACAGCGCAAUAACGUUUGAGAGUUAAUCAACGACGGUGUUUGCGACCUCGAUGUUGAAUUGCAGCGUCCUAGGAAGUAGUCACUCCUAAGGGUUGGUUUGUUCACCCAUUAAAGCUGUACAUGAUUUGAGUUAAAAGCGUGGUAACACAGCUUAGUUUCUAUCUACAAUGAUAAACAUAGAUAUUUUGUUUUUUAGUACGAAAGGAUCAAAAAUUAAUAGUUCUCUAAAGACAACUAUUCUUUAAAUUAGGAUUGCUUCUAAAAAAAAAAAGAAAUAUUUUUUGUUUGGUUUUAUUUUAGAAAAAAAAGAAAUAAUUUUUGUUUGGUUUUAUUU